This is a long non-coding RNA of Capsicum annuum, 1096 nucleotides long. RefSeq lists it as uncharacterized. Lineage: Eukaryota; Viridiplantae; Streptophyta; Magnoliopsida; Solanales; Solanaceae. The transcript has 2 exons. The record is from RefSeq and is a predicted model, not a curated record.
CUUCUCCGAUACAGCAAACAACAACGUUUAAUAUCAACAAAACCAGCAAACAACAAUAAACAACGACAACACCAGCUGCAGGCAAACCGACCCGAACAACAACUUGUUGAAAUCCAACGACAAUUUCAACCUAUCAAAACCUAAAACAGUGACAACAACGGCUACAACCCGACCUGUGAACACCAAAAAUUCAACCCAACAAACCCCUUGAAUCACGAAAAUACAUCUCUUUUCGUCUUAUCUUUGCAAUUUGGCAGGCCUAGAGCCAUCUUUGUUGACCUUCUGCUCAAGAUUGAGUGUCUUCAAUUCUAAAAUCCAAUUCAAAUCAGAAAGUGUCAGUCCAAAUCUGAAUUUCAGGGAUAUAUUUUCUCUAUUUUUUAAAGACGGAAAAAUCAAUAUCUUCUUGUAUAAAUGGGAAUUGAGGGGAAGAAGGUAAGGGGGAUUUUGGGAAAAAAUUGGGGGUUCUAAAGGCGCUUGCUUUUAACCUCACGAAACCAAAAUUCUCGGCGAACAUACUCCAAAAAUUGAAUUCCGAUGAAACUGUUGAACUCCGGCAAGGCUAGUUGGCAUUCCGGUGGUGGAAGUUGCAACGUGAUAGGCUCAAUUGUUUCGUUCGCUGCCCGAAAACAGUCCCUCGGACUCCCUCUCUCACAUUCCGUUGGGUUAAACCUGAUUUGCAUCGAGUCAAAACCUCAGAUCCAAGUCCCAAGGGGACUGCUUUGUGCUUGUAUACAACAGAUAUACACCAUUAUACAGGCUUGGAAAAGGAUACAUGGAAAAGGAAGCUGAUUAUGUGGUUGGAAGGCAAAAAAUAUGUAUAUAUUUGACCAGUAUACGGUCUUAUAUACGCUGUAUAUAUACAAAAACGCAGCAGCAGAAAAUCUGAUAUACAGUCAGUAUACAACUGGGUAUACAUUGCAGAAAUGGACCAAAAGUCCAAGAAGAAUAGGCCCAAAAGUUGACCAGAUUUGACAAGGGCCCAAUAUUUAAAACUGUUUCUCUUUAGUUUCCAUUUUAACUUGUUUAUUUGUAUUUAUUUGAACACUCUAACUAAUUAAUUUAGAUAAAUCUCCUAAGAUGUUAUCAUUUUAUUUUA